RNAcentral lists this long non-coding RNA (4877 nucleotides) under Nothobranchius furzeri (turquoise killifish). RNAcentral describes it as "lncRNA (ENSNFUG00015022344.1)". The record is from RNAcentral. Lineage: Eukaryota; Metazoa; Chordata; Actinopteri; Cyprinodontiformes; Nothobranchiidae.
ACUGCUAAAAAAACACAGAAGAAAAAGUAGUGUGUUUGCGUUUGUGUGUGUGUGUGUGUGCGUGCGCGCGCGCGCGCGUGGUUCGUUCGUUCUGUCUCCAGGCUAGUGGCUAAGUACUGAGGGCUUCAUCUAUCUAAAAGGAGUUAUUUCCAUCUGAAUUUGGCAGCACCGGGACACAGCAGCAGAGCGGUAAGCUUCAUAUCACUCUAAAAUGUCGACAAACUUUACUUUAGAUUUACGGGCAUUAGCAGCACUAAAGCGUUAGCAUCCGGCUUGCUAUCGCUAGCACAGUAUGCUAGUAAAGUUAGCACCCAGAUUAAUGUGGAUUUGGCUGAUUUUCGUGGAAUAAAACGUGAUUUCUGAUCAACGCCUUCUUUUACACCAGAUGAUAACCUCCCACUGAUUGUAACAGCAGAGAGCCUGUGUGUUAUUCUACGUGAGUGUGAUGUAAUCUUAGCAUCCAGUAAAUAAAGUCCCAUAUCAGCUAAAAUGCAGCGUGACAAAGUCAUUAAAGUGCGUCAACACAGUGGAUUUAAUAGAGUUUUAAAGAACGAUCUCUAAGUGAAGUGAGGUUAGUUUUUUGUCUCACUGCAGAUAUAAAAACUAACUCUGCAUCAGUCAGACGCAGCAAAGCUCACCGUCUGUAUGAGCGUGAGCGUCGGAAAGCUGAUAAAAUUGGCUGUAAAAUAAUUAAAACAAAGUAAAAAUGUUCCUUUGCUUUUUAGAGUCCACAUCCAGAAGACUGGAGCCGUGUUUCACUGACAGGCUGUCAGACUAACGCCCUGAUGAGCUCAGCUGGGACAAACUGGUCUGAUGUUUAGGUAAGUGAAGAUCUGCUUCUCCAAGUCCUUGAGAUGCUAGUAAAAAAUAAUUUAGCCAGCUUGCUAAUGUUACUUUUCUUCUCCUCUAAGGAACACAGAACGUUCAGAUGUUGGCGCUUCACGUCACCUACUGAGGAAGGAGACCCACCAGUAAAGAGACGGUCUGGACCAGACCAAAAAUAUGGCGAUGACAUCAUGGAACUGGUCUUUGGAAAAGUUUUCCCUGAACCAACUCCGUUUCUAGAUGAGGACCAGUUUGAAGCCCACAUACUGCCCCUCCCUCAUCAUCAGGAAACAUCAAUCCGUAUCCUGAGGACAACAAAAGACAGCAGGAGGACAGGAACUCUGAGACCUAGAUAACCCCAGCACCGGGACACAAAGCACCUGUGUGCACAACGCCUGUUUAACUACUAAAGCCUGUUUAUUAUAUUGUUCUACUUAUUUGCUGUGAGGUUAAUACUUAGAAAAUUUGUAUAUUAAUGUAAACAAUAAAAAAAAUCACUGAUUGUAUGUUUUCUUUUAGAUGUAAUGGUCCAAACUCAGCCUUGUAGACAUUUAUUGCAUCCUGUAGGUAAAUACACAGAACAGGCUCAGAUCCAGGAUGACCCAGCAUGCUCUUCUUCCAUUCUGGCUGUUAGGGAUUUUAUCAAUAACUCAAUGCCUACUGAUGUUUUCACCUAACGGUAUUUAUUUAGAAUGCAGGUAAGAUUUAACUAUAUUUGUUAGCAAAGCAGACUGAUCUUGGGAAUUUCACUGCAGCACUGAUGUCCACCUCUCUGUACACAUUAGAGAGAAUUACCACUUUACAGCUAAACACAUUUAAUAAAGAUAUAGGCUACGCAUUGCAGACAAUAAAAACAAAGUUGUAAGCAUUAGAAUUAUAAUGAUGACAUUAAAGAACACUUGGAGGAAUGUUCUUUAUUUUUGACUAGAAUCUCAAAUCUUUAAAUUAAAAUGUAACUGCUUUUUAUCCAUUUUCAGCCAUUAAGACACCCAAUAUAAAAUAAGACUACUUAUAAAAUUAUUUAUAAUUAUAUGUAUGUAUAUAGAUAGAGAUCUUAAUAAAAUAUAUUCUUUGAAUGGUGUUUUAAUGAGCUGUAUCAUUUUUUUAAACAUUUUUUACAGAAAUAAGCAAGCAGCAUUCCUUGUGUGUGUGUGUGUGUGUGUGCGCGCGCGCGUGUGCCUGCUCGCUUGUCCCUCCGUCGGCCGUGACGGGUGUGUGUGAGUGACUACAGACAAAUGCAUGAGAGAGUUAGCAGCCAUGAAACAGCUUGAUGAACUACUCUCCCCACGUGUUUUAAAAAUGCUAAUAUGCUAUGCUAAAUCUGCUAUGCUAAAUAAUGAUUUCUCUAUAGAACUACAAAGUCCGACUGGGGGAGGAGAGUACAGGACUGCACUAUGGAGGGGGGCGGAGUUUACAGCUCCUCCUCCAGUUUAAAGAGACAGUACCCCAAAACGGCUCGUUCUCAAGACUCUCCUCAGAACAGGGGUAGAUGAGGGUCUAUAGAGCAACAAUAAUGAGGAAAUCAGACCAAAGAACUGCAGUUCCACUGUUUUUAGACCCCCAACUGAAGGAUUUAGAUGUAAAAAGGAAUAACUUAAAAGCAUGUUAUGUCUCCUUUAAAUGUUCUUAAAGCUAAACUUUUUUUCCAUACCGAGCUGACAAUAAAGCCAAGGUACGCACCAAACUGGGAUUUUAGCCGUUGUGUUACACCCCUAGUGACACACUUCUACUUCCGGCUCUUGGAGGGUGCAGACGCUUUUCUUCUCCUCUCCUCCAUAUCUUAUCCUCAAAGCCUUUGUCUCUGUGUGCUGGGUGCACGGCUGCUUCUGCAUUUCUUCUGGAAACUGGAAACUGAAAUUCACUAAAAUGGAUCUUGUCAGUUGGUCACUCAAGGCAGUUGAUAAAAUCAGCAUAGAAUCAGCACAAAUUGGGAUAGAUUAAUGUCCAUUAUUGGGAUUUUGAGAGGUUGAGAACCAACAAACUGUAAGACAGAGAGGAAAUUAUCUCUGUCUGGCCCCAAAACAAUUUCUAAUUGGAAUCUGGUGCCCUUGAGCCUGCAAGGCUACAAUGAAAACUCCCCCCUCAGAAGAUAUGUGGAAUGUGCUGUCACUAUGGCAACUCAACUCUGUCUCCUUUCCCAGCCUGGGUGGGACUGCGGAAAGGCUGCUGAAACAUUCCAGGGUCAUUGCAUCCCUCCAACCCUCAAUGCUCCUCCCCCUAUCCACACUGAGGUGACAUGCGCUGCUUAUCGUGGCUGCAGGAACUGAAGUGGGGAUAGACCCAACCCACCACCUCACCUUGUGGACACUUAUGUUGUGUUAUCUGAAGUCUGUUGCAUAUCUGUCUGAGGUGUUUUUUGCAUAGCAAAGCUGCUCUCCCAGUGGAGGGUAACUCUGAAGUGCCUUUUGUUCCCUCCACCUGAACCAAUCCUCAUGUAACCCUCUUAUCUCUAUUAAGGUAGAGCGACUCAGGGUUGCUAAUGACCACAGUCAUCAAUUCUUGUCAUGUGUGUAUCUUGCCCAUGUAUGUCUGAUCUCUGAAUUGUGUGUACUGAAACUCUAAUUUCCCUCUGGGAUUAAUAAAGUAUCUUUGAUUUGAUUUGAUUUGAUUGAUGUUCAGAUAAGUGACCACUGAGCUGUGCGUCCUCCCACAUAUUCAGUCUUAAAUAUAUUUACACAAUAAUCUGCAUUUUAGUUUCAACAUCAGCCUGUGAGGCCAGCCAUGCAGCUACAAGGGUUGUUGUCUGUCGCGAGGGUCAAGGAGCCAGUGUCUGGACUCUUGAAUCAAACAUUAAUAAAGGCUGAUUACAAUAUCAAUCUAUAUACAUCACCAUAUUUCUUUCAGGCCAUAUUGCUCAGCCGCAGUAAGGGUGUUGUGUUUUAUAGUUAGAAAUAAAUUAAACUGACGUCUGAGUUUCCAGCCUUGAUCUGUAAGAGAAGAAAAGACCAGUUCAAGCUGGAACAAAGAUUUUGUAAUGUAAAACUAUUCAUGAGGGGGAAACGAAGGUCUUUCUCCUCAUGUUGAUCAAACCACAUUGAGGAGGUAUUAUUCAGCAGAUGCAGAUCUCCUCCUCCAGGAAACAGAUUAUCUAUCAGAGAAGUGAAGCUUUGUGGGGUAUUUUCUUUUCUCAUUUUAACCUGAUCAAUUUCCCACACUUUGUGUCUUAAUCCUCCAAAAUGUUGCUCUAAUUCAAUUAGUUCUGAUUUGUGGAGGUCUGAGCACCUCCAUGAAGAUAAUUACCACGAACUCCAACUCAUAUAGAAUAUAUGCAGUCAGCCUCGUCAUAUUCUCCAAAACCAGUUUGACAUUAAUUUGGGUCGUAAAAAAAUCAAAAUUCUCGCAUGUUGGUCUAAUGCUGACUUAAAGAAAGUCAGACUAUGCACAUUUCCUGUUCUGUGAUGAAUGCUUUUCCAUUUUGGAUAACAAUCUUUCAUAUUUUUCACGUGACGGUCGCAUUAAAACAAACUGAGAUCUUACUCUGGAGGCUUCCAUGAGCGAACAGAUUAAUUAUGGCUGAAGUCAAGAUCAAUUCAGGUUAGUGUGCUCUUGAUUAGAUCAGCCAGAGUAAUUUAACAGCUGCUGUCCUCACUCAGAAGAAGCAAUGGCAAAGUGAGGAAAAAGACUUCCUGCUGUUUGGAAUCAAUCCAGAUAAAAUUCCUCUCUACAGGAAGUAGAAGUGGCUCAUUCGUAGCGACAAGAGGAAUCCAAUGAAUUUUAAACUUCAUCUCCACUUCAUGCAAAGGAAGAAAUCACUCAGAUAAAGCUCUUAUUGAUGCAGCAACCCUCCAGAAGGAUAAUGAACACAUCAAACUUCUCUUCCUUGAGCUGAAACUGUUAUUUUAUUUAAAUAAAGCAAGUUUUAUCUGUGUUGUUCUUAAAGGGCUCGUUCACUGAGAAACCGUGGAAUACUUGUUCAUUUUGACAAACGGUCAUCAGUCUGAGCUGCAGAUGCAAGCUGGACGUGAGAAUUUUGUGCAACCCUUUGUGUAACCCCCAUUAGCCGCAGACAGGAAAUAAAUGAGAAAACGUCAAAGGAAAAGUUUGCUUUCAUA